RNAcentral lists this long non-coding RNA (338 nucleotides) under Elaeis guineensis (African oil palm). Its description in RNAcentral is "long non-coding RNA (EGUI_LNC038470)". Lineage: Eukaryota; Viridiplantae; Streptophyta; Magnoliopsida; Arecales; Arecaceae. The record is from RNAcentral.
UGGGCCUCUUCAUAAUGUGCCCUUCAAGUUGGGCUUCUCCACACUUGAAUUUUCACUAUUGUGGGUCAAAUUUGAAAUGCCAAAUCCAAUAAAAUCCUAACCACCCUGGCUUUUGAUACUUAAAUAGGGAUAAGAUGGGAUGUCCCAAGUGAUGAGAUCACUUGUGGAUGCCCCAAAAGAUGGAGUUUGGCAUGGAGAACGGAUGGAUGCCUAAGGCUUGUGGCAUGACGUUGUUCAUCGUGAGAAAAAAUGGGUGCCUCCUCUUCCUAUCUCUUCUUUUUUACAACCAAAGAUUGGCUGUUAGAGGUAACUCCCUAUCUUUUGUGUCCAAUAGUUGG